RNAcentral lists this ribosomal RNA (491 nucleotides) under uncultured bacterium. RNAcentral describes it as "partial 16S ribosomal RNA". It matches the Rfam family "Bacterial small subunit ribosomal RNA", at positions 29 to 507 of the family's 1533-position model. The record is from RNAcentral.
AGUGAACGCUGGCGGUAGGCCUAACACAUGCAAGUCGAACGGCAGCACAGUAAGAGCUUGCUCUUACGGGUGGCGAGUGGCGGACGGGUGAGGAAUACAUCGGAAUCUACUUUUUCGUGGGGGAAACGUAGGGAAACUUACGCUAAUACCGCAUACGACCUACGGGUGAAAGCAGGGGAUCUUCGGACCUUGCGCGAUUGAAUGAGCCGAUGUCGGAUUAGCUAGUUGGCGGGGUAAAGGCCCACCCAGGCGACGAUCCGUAGCUGGUCUGAGAGGAUGAUCAGCCACACUGGAACUGAGACACGGUCCAGACUCCUACGGGAGGCAGCAGUGGGGAAUAUUGGACAAUGGGCGCAAGCCUGAUCCAGCCAUACCGCGUGGGUGAAGAAGGCCUUCGGGUUGUAAAGCCCUUUUGUUGGGAAAGAAAAGCAGCAGGUUAAUACCCCGCUGUUCUGACGGUACCCAAAGAAUAAGCACCGGCUAACUUCGUG